Molecule: ribosomal RNA, 1012 nt
Filed under: Phaeosphaeria musae
Lineage: Eukaryota; Fungi; Ascomycota; Dothideomycetes; Pleosporales; Phaeosphaeriaceae
Description: SSU rRNA
Rfam family: Eukaryotic small subunit ribosomal RNA
Source: RNAcentral
GCAAUUAUACCGUGAAACUGCGAAUGGCUCAUUAAAUCAGUUAUCGUUUAUUUGAUAGUACCUUACUACUUGGAUAACCGUGGUAAUUCUAGAGCUAAUACAUGCUGAAAACCCCAACUUCGGGAGGGGUGUAUAUAUUAGAUAAAAAACCAACGCCCUUCGGGGCUUCUUGGUGAUUCAUGAUAUCUUUACGGAUCGCAUGGCCUUGCGCCGGCGACGGUUCAUUCAAAUUUCUGCCCUAUCAACUUUCGAUGGUAAGGUAUUGGCUUACCAUGGUUUCAACGGGUAACGGGGAAUUAGGGUUCGAUUCCGGAGAGGGAGCCUGAGAAACGGCUACCACAUCCAAGGAAGGCAGCAGGCGCGCAAAUUACCCAAUCCCGACACGGGGAGGUAGUGACAAUAAAUACUGAUACAGGGCUCUUUUGGGUCUUGUAAUUGGAAUGAGUACAAUUUAAACCUCUUAACGAGGAACAAUUGGAGGGCAAGUCUGGUGCCAGCAGCCGCGGUAAUUCCAGCUCCAAUAGCGUAUAUUAAAGUUGUUGCAGUUAAAAAGCUCGUAGUUGAACCUUGGGUCUGGCUGGCAGGUCCGCCUCACCGCGUGUACUUGUCCGGCCGGGCCUUCCUUCUGGAGAACCUCAUGCCCUUCACUGGGCGUGUUGGGGACCAGGACUUUUACUUUGAAAAAAUUAGAGUGUUCAAAGCAGGCCUUUGCUCGAAUACGUUAGCAUGGAAUAAUAGAAUAGGACGUGCGGUCCUAUUUUGUUGGUUUCUAGGACCGCCGUAAUGAUUAAUAGGGACAGUCGGGGGCAUCAGUAUUCAAUUGUCAGAGGUGAAAUUCUUGGAUUUAUUGAAGACUAACUACUGCGAAAGCAUUUGCCAAGGAUGUUUUCAUUAAUCAGUGAACGAAAGUUAGGGGAUCGAAGACGAUCAGAUACCGUCGUAGUCUUAACCGUAAACUAUGCCGACUAGGGAUCGGGCGAUGUUCUUUUUCUGACUCGCUCGGCACCUUACG